Homo sapiens (human) is the source of this 1007-nucleotide long non-coding RNA. Ensembl annotates it as NSUN5 pseudogene 1. Its record names the gene NSUN5P1. The record is from Ensembl. NCBI's taxonomy places the organism in Eukaryota, Metazoa, Chordata, Mammalia, Primates, Hominidae.
GGGAACAUGGGGCUGUACGCUGCGGUGGCAGGCGUGCUGGCCGGCGUGGAGAGCCGCCAGGGCUCUAUCAAGGGGCUGGUGUACUCCAGCAACUUCCAGCCUUGAUGACUUACAAGCCCUCAAGGGGAAGCAUUUUCUCCUGGACUCCUUGAUGCCGGAGCUGCUGGUGUUUCCCGCCCAGACAGAUCUGCAUGAACACCCACUGUACCGGGCCGGACACCUCAUUCUGCAGGACAGGGCCAGCUGUCUCCCAGCCAUGCUGCUGGACCCCUGCCAGGCUCCCAUGUCAUCGAUGCCUGUGCCGCCCCAGGCAAUAAGACCAGUCACUUGGCUGCUCUUCUGAAGAACCAAGGGUAUGCCGAGCAGACAGCUGGAGGAUCCCGGGGCAGGGACACCUAGCCCGGUGCGUCUGCAUGCCCUGGCAGGGUUCCAGCAGCGAGCCCUGUGCCACGCGCUCACUUUCCCUUCCCUGCAGCGGCUCGUCUACUCCAUGUGCUCCCUCUGCCAGGAGGAGAAUGAAGACAUGGUACCAGAUGCGCUGCAGCAGAACCCGGGCGCCUUCAGGCUAGCUCCCGCCCUGCCUGCCCGGCCCCACCGAGGCCUGAGCACGUUCCCGGGUGCCGAGCACUGCCUCCGGGCUUCCCCCAAGACCACGCUUAGCGGUGGCUUCUUCGUUGCUGUAAUUGAACGGGUCGAGAUGCCGAUCUCAGCCUCACAGGCCAAAGCAUCAGCACCAGAACGCACACCCAGCCCAGCCCCAAAGAGAAAGAAGAGACAGCAAAGAGCCGCAGCCGGUGCUUGCACACCGCCUUGCACAUAGCAGAGGCUCCAGGCUGACUCCUUCCUGGUGGGAAAGGAAGAUGCCUGUCCUCUCCGUGGAGGACCCUGGGCCCUCACCGCAGGCAGCAGUUUGCAUUUUGAAAGGUUAUUGGGUCCCUUCCUCGGGCUGUGUUCUUGCUGGUGAGCAAAAGUGUUGCCUGCAGAAAUAAAAUGCAGAACGUACUCUA